Molecule: ribosomal RNA, 327 nt
Filed under: uncultured eukaryote
Lineage: Eukaryota
Description: partial 18S ribosomal RNA
Rfam family: Eukaryotic small subunit ribosomal RNA
Source: RNAcentral
CCCUUAGAUGUUCUGGGCCGCACACGCGCUACACUGAAGGAGGCAGCGUGUACUCCUGGAUCGAAAGAUUUGGGUAACCCGCGAAUCUCCUUCGUGCUAGGGAUUGAGGUUUGCAAUUAUCCUUCAUGAACGAGCAAUUCCCAGUAAGUGCAAGUCAUAAGCUUGCGCUGACUACGUCCCUGCCCUUUGUACACACCGCCCGUCGCUACUACCGAUUGAAUGAUUUAGUGAGGACUUCGGACUGGGACCGAUGCGGCUUUCGGGCUGCGUCGGUAUUCUGGAAAGAUGUCCAAACUGUAUCAUUUAGAGGAAGUAAAAGUCGUAACA